This 411-nucleotide ribosomal RNA is filed under the name Gracilaria curtissiae. Its description in RNAcentral is "bacterial LSU rRNA". It matches the Rfam family "Bacterial large subunit ribosomal RNA", at positions 2078 to 2485 of the family's 2925-position model. Lineage: Eukaryota; Rhodophyta; Florideophyceae; Gracilariales; Gracilariaceae. The record is from RNAcentral.
GGACAGAAAGACCCUAUGAAGCUUUACUGUAGCUUGGAAUUGAAUUUGGGUUUAAUUUGUGCAGUAUAGGUGGGAGGCAGAGAGUAUAUAUUUGCGGAUGUAUAGGAGCCAUUAGUGAGAUACCACUCUGAUUAAACUAGAAUUCUAAUAUUGAUUGCCAUCAGCUGGCCAAUAAACAGUUUGAGGUGGGCAGUUUGACUGGGGCGGUCGCCUCCUAAAAGGUAACGGAGGCGUGCAAAGGUUUCCUCAGGCUGGUCGGAAAUCAGUCGUAGAGUAUAAAGGCAUAAGGAAGCUUGACUGCGAGACAUACAAGUCGAGCAGAGACGAAAGUCGGCCUUAGUGAUCCGACAGUACUGAGUGGAAAGGCUGUCGCUCAACGGAUAAAAGUUACCUCUAGGGAUAACAGGCUGA